Molecule: transfer RNA, 83 nt
Filed under: Carboxydothermus pertinax
Lineage: Bacteria; Bacillati; Bacillota; Clostridia; Thermoanaerobacterales; Thermoanaerobacteraceae
Description: tRNA-Leu
Rfam family: tRNA
About the family: Transfer RNA (tRNA) molecules are approximately 80 nucleotides in length. Their secondary structure includes four short double-helical elements and three loops (D, anti-codon, and T loops).
Source: RNAcentral
GUCGGAGUGGCGGAAUCGGCAGACGCGCACGUUUGAGGGGCGUGUGGGAAACCGUGUGGGUUCAAGUCCCACCUCCGACACCA